AGGGGGUUUCCGCCCCUUAGUGCUGCAGCUAACGCAUUAAGCACUCCGCCUGGGGAGUACGGUCGCAAGACUGAAACUCAAAGGAAUUGACGGGGGCCCGCACAAGCGGUGGAGCAUGUGGUUUAAUUCGAAGCAACGCGAAGAACCUUACCAGGUCUUGACAUCCUCUGACAACCCUAGAGAUAGGGCUUUCCCUUCGGGGACAGAGUGACAGGUGGUGCAUGGUUGUCGUCAGCUCGUGUCGUGAGAUGACUGGGAUAACUCCCGCAAACCGAGAGCUAACACCGUGAUAGUUACUUGAACCAGCAUGGUUCAAGGAUGAAAGACGGUUUCGGCUGUCACUCUACAGAUGGACCCGCCGGCGACAAUACCGGAGGAAGGUGGGGUAAUGACGUCACCAAGGCGAUCGAUGCCCCGUAGCCGACCUGAGAGCGUACACACGUGCCACAAUGGGACAGAGACAAAGGCCUGCAAGACUCGCAACGGGUUAGCCAAUCCCAGUAGGGAAUCUGUCCGCAAUUCGGAUCGAAAGUCUGACAGAGCAACGACCGCGUGAAGCUGGAAUCGAUAGGUAAUCGCGGAUCAGCAAAGCUCUGCGGUUAGGGAAGAACAAGUGCCCGAGCCAUGUACACACCGCCCGUCACACCACGACGAGUACGCAACACCAGAAAGUCGCUGACGGCUAACCUUUACGUGCCAGCCAGCCGCCGUAAUACGUAGGUGGCAGAUGAGUUGGCCGUGAAGUCGUAUUGGGCGUAAAGGGCUCGCAGGCGGUUUCUUAAGUCUGAUGUGAAAGCCCCCGGCUCAACCGGGGAGGGUCAUUGGAAACUGGGAAACUUGAGUGCAGAAGAGGAGAGUGGAAUUCCACGUGUAGCGGUGAAAUGCGUAGAGAUGUGGAGGAACACCAGUGGCGAAGGCGACUCUCUGGUCUGUAACUGACGCUGAGGAGCGAAAGCGUGGGGAGCGAACAGGAUUAGAUACCCUGGUAGUCCACGCCGUAAACGAUGAGUGCUAAGUGUUAGGGGGUUUCCGCCCCUUA
This 1039-nucleotide ribosomal RNA is filed under the name Bacillus sp. (in: firmicutes). Its description in RNAcentral is "bacterial SSU rRNA". The stretch from base 1 to 781 matches the Rfam family "Bacterial small subunit ribosomal RNA", at positions 825 to 1533 of the family's 1533-position model. Lineage: Bacteria; Bacillati; Bacillota; Bacilli; Caryophanales; Bacillaceae. The record is from RNAcentral.